AACGCUAGCUACAGGCUUAACACAUGCAAGUCGAGGGGCAGCACAGUGUAGCAAUACACGGGCGGCGACCGGCGCACGGGUGCGUAACGCGUAUCCAACCUUCCCGAUACUCAGGGAUAGCCUUCCGAAAGGGAGAUUAAUACAAGAUGGUAUUCAAAUUCCGCAUGUUAUUUGAAUUAAAGAUUUAUCGGUAUCGGAUGGGGAUGCGUGACAUUAGGUAGAUGGCGGGGUAACGGCCCACCUUGCCUACGAUGUCUAGGGGUUCUGAGAGGAAGGUCCCCCACACUGGAACUGAGACACGGUCCAGACUCCUACGGGAGGCAGCAGUGAGGAAUAUUGGUCAAUGGUCGGAAGACUGAACCAGCCAAGUAGCGUGAAGGAUGAAGGUUCUAUGGAUUGUAAACUUCUUUUAUACGGGAAUAAAACCUCCCACGUGUGGGAGCUUGUAUGUACCGUAUGAAUAAGCAUCGGCUAACUCCGUGCCAGCAGCCGCGGUAAUACGGAGGAUGCGAGCGUUAUCCGGAUUUAUUGGGUUUAAAGGGAGCGUAGACGGGAGAUUAAGUCAGUUGUGAAAGGCUGCGGCUCAACCGCAGCACUGCAGUUGAUACUGGUUUCCUUGAGUGCGGUUGAGGUGUAUGGAAUUCGUGGUGUAGCGGUGAAAUGCUUAGAUAUCACGAAGAACUCCGAUUG
This 690-nucleotide ribosomal RNA is filed under the name uncultured bacterium. RNAcentral's name for it is "bacterial SSU rRNA". It matches the Rfam family "Bacterial small subunit ribosomal RNA", at positions 32 to 715 of the family's 1533-position model. The record is from RNAcentral.